CCUACGGGGGGCUACAGUGGGGAAUAUUGGACAAUGGGGGCAACCCUGAUCCAGCCAUGCCGCGUGUGUGAAGAAGGCCCUCGGGUUGUAAAGCACUUUCAGUGAGGAAGAACGCCUGGUGGUUAAUACCCAUCAGGAAAGACAUCACUCACAGAAGAAGCACCGGCUAACUCCGUGCCAGCAGCCGCGGUAAUACGGAGGGUGCGAGCGUUAAUCGGAAUUACUGGGCGUAAAGCGCGCGUAGGUGGCUUGAUAAGCCGGUUGUGAAAGCCCCUGGCUCAACCUGGGAACGGCAUCCGGAACUGUCAAGCUAGAGUGCAGGAGAGGAAGGUAGAAUUCCCGGUGUAGCGGUGAAAUGCGUAGAGAUCGGGAGGAAUACCAGUGGCGAAGGCGGCCUUCUGGACUGACACUGACACUGAGGUGCGAAAGCGUGGGUAGCAAACAGGAUUAGAUACCCUUGUAGUC
RNAcentral lists this ribosomal RNA (465 nucleotides) under Vreelandella stevensii. RNAcentral describes it as "partial 16S ribosomal RNA". It matches the Rfam family "Bacterial small subunit ribosomal RNA", at positions 338 to 795 of the family's 1533-position model. The record is from RNAcentral. Lineage: Bacteria; Pseudomonadati; Pseudomonadota; Gammaproteobacteria; Oceanospirillales; Halomonadaceae.